Non-coding RNA from Malus domestica (apple), 1941 nucleotides. The record is from RefSeq and is a predicted model, not a curated record. Lineage: Eukaryota; Viridiplantae; Streptophyta; Magnoliopsida; Rosales; Rosaceae.
UUUAAAAAUAAAAAAAAAUAAACAGACCACAGAUCCACAAACAACAAUAAUAACAUCUUAAAACAAUAAAAUUUAAUCCGCAAGAAAAGAAAACCAAUCAAAAUAUUUUCCCACAAAAUAUUCUCAGCUGCCAAACAGAGCGAUAAAGAACUUGAUCGCACCCCAAAAAGGUUUUCAUAAUUUGUAUUUAUUAUUAUUCAGUAAUAAAUAAUAUUCGUUUCUGGAGGAAAAGGCAGCAGCGUGAUGAGGACCCAUUCACCCAUCACUGCUCAUCCACAACCUCUGCAAUCCAACUCACCAAGGACCACGCGCGCACACGUGCCACCUCUUCCGUCCCAGACUCCCACACAUGUCUCUCCGUACCUCCCUCCCCGCCAAAACUUUCCUGUAAUUACCGGCCCAAGUCACAGGCCAGAAGCAGCAGAUCAAAACUCAGCGACUGUGACGUGAGCGAAAUGGAGGAAGCUCGGAAGCUUCGCUCGGAGUUCCUCCAAGUUCUGCGGAGCAGACGAUCGGGCGAAGUUCCAAUGUUGGUCGAGCCGGCCAAACCGGUGGCGAAUCCGUUGUUUCAGGAGGCUAAUCCACCAAGCUUCAGUGAGGUUCGAAUCUGGUUCCCAUUUGGAAAUGCUUUGUACCAGUUCGGUACUGCUUAAUUUUUUUAAAGGCCUCAAAAUUGUAUUUGGCAACAAAGCCAAAGACUGCUUAUUUCCUAAGUCACGGUCAGAAAUAGCUGAAAAGUGGAAGCAGCUACUUGCUGCUUUCAAAAAGCGGCUUUUUUUCCAUCUAAAACACGGUGGACAGUGUGUUUAAUGAAAGUUUUUAAAUGCCCAUCUUCCUUGCUCUUGUUGGCAGCUCCAGUUUUCGCAAUUCACUGAGAAGCAGCUACAUCUACCAAAUUCUGCAGCCAUCAAUUAAAAAUAUAAGACAACAAAUCAUCUGGAACUCUUCUCACAAUUUUGAUAGAGAAUUGACAGAAAGGAUACGAACCUGAAACUUCAUUCCCAGUUGAAGCCUCCAUCUCCAGCCACAUCAAAACUCCUGUGUUAUUCGAUUCUUUUCCUUUGCUUCGAUCGCAGGAGAGAAGGAUUCGAGGAAGACGCUAUUUUUUCUGGGAAUAUUGGAAGGGCUAGGUUUUUGGGAGGUGCAGGUGGGAUGAUGUCGAUAUCAUCGAGGAAGACGCUAUUUUUUCUGGGCAAAUGAAGACGGAGAAAAUGGAUAUUGAUGAUAAAAAGCCCGAAGAAAACGAGGGGAGAGGAGAAUGAGAGUCCGAGAAAGUACUUUGACAGAAAAGGUUUACCAAACACUAACUGGUCUGGAAGUUCCCAAAUCAAAAGCUUGCAAGGCUUAUGCAGAUGCGCACGCCGUAGAUAACUUGAAGGUAUGGAUUAGCACUGUUAUACCGUACAAAUAAUUUUUACCAUCCUCAACUGCAUUUAGAGCCUCUGAUUCAUCUGUUCUUCUGUUCAAACCUUCCUUCAUACUCAUGGCCGUCGACCGUUGUCAUGUCUGUUCAUCCAAACACAAAUAAUAUCGUAAUGCAGUCAAUAGCACAGCCGGGAAUCAGGCACCGAAUGACCCCGCUCAUGGUAACCGAGGCCAGUGACUGGUUCGACCAGUUUCUGAAGCAGUGAGGCCGUGGUUGCAAUCGUGCGUUCGUCGUUUCUUACUAAUCUACUUACCCAGUGUUCAUCUGUAACUCAGAGCCAAUCGGUUUUGGGCUUAAGCAAUAUACUCUCUGAUGAUAUAUCGUCAAGGCUGAAAUAAUUCAUCGUCGUUUCGAAAAAAUGUUCUGUUAGUACGGAAUAUUAUUACAACAGCAUUCUUAAACGACUAGUUUUCGGUUUCGUCGAUCACAAAUUCACAAUCAAAUCAUGAUGCAUAAAAACCCCCCAAGCUAACAUGUGCCGAGGUUUUACAUUAUGUGCAACUUCGUGCAUAAAA